CGGCUCGCCACCUCCGCCCGUCUCAUGCUUGUCUCUGAUCUCGACCACACCAUGGUUGAUCAUCAUGACCCGGAGAGCCUCUCGCUGCUCCGGUUCAACGCGCUGUGGGAAUCGCUCUACCGCCACGACUCGCUGCUCGUUUUCUCGACCGGGCGGUCGCCAACACUCUACAAACAACUGAGGACGGAGAAGCCGAUGCUGACACCGG
This 208-nucleotide unclassified non-coding RNA is filed under the name Hevea brasiliensis (rubber tree). The record is from RNAcentral. Lineage: Eukaryota; Viridiplantae; Streptophyta; Magnoliopsida; Malpighiales; Euphorbiaceae.